This 497-nucleotide ribosomal RNA is filed under the name uncultured bacterium. Its description in RNAcentral is "partial 16S ribosomal RNA". It matches the Rfam family "Bacterial small subunit ribosomal RNA", at positions 28 to 507 of the family's 1533-position model. The record is from RNAcentral.
GAUGAACGCUGGCGGCGUGCCUAAUACACGCCAGUCGAGCGAACAGACGAGGAGCUUGCUCCUCUGACGUUAGCGGCGGACGGGUGAGUAACACGUGGAUAACCUACCUAUAAGACUGGGAUAACUUCGGGAAACCGGAGCUAAUACCGGAUAAUAUAUUGAACCGCAUGGUUCAAUAGUGAAAGACGGUUUUGCUGUCACUUAUAGAUGGAUCCGCGCCGCAUUAGCUAGUUGGUAAGGUAACGGCUUACCAAGGCAACGAUGCGUAGCCGACCUGAGAGGGUGAUCGGCCACACUGGAACUGAGACACGGUCCAGACUCCUACGGGAGGCAGCAGUAGGGAAUCUUCCGCAAUGGGCGAAAGCCUGACGGAGCAACGCCGCGUGAGUGAUGAAGGUCUUCGGAUCGUAAAACUCUGUUAUUAGGGAAGAACAAAUGUGUAAGUAACUAUGCACGUCUUGACGGUACCUAAUCAGAAAGCCACGGCUAACUACGUG